This 253-nucleotide ribosomal RNA is filed under the name uncultured bacterium. Its description in RNAcentral is "partial 16S ribosomal RNA". It matches the Rfam family "Bacterial small subunit ribosomal RNA", at positions 524 to 776 of the family's 1533-position model. The record is from RNAcentral.
UACGGAGGGUGCAAGCGUUAUCCGGAUUCACUGGGUUUAAAGGGUGCGUAGGCGGGCAGGUAAGUCAGAGGUGAAAUCUCCGGGCUCAACCCGGAAACUGCCUUUGAUACUAUCUGUCUUGAAUAUGGUGGAGGUAAGCGGAAUAUGUCAUGUAGCGGUGAAAUGCUUAGAUAUGACAUAGAACACCAAUUGCGAAGGCAGCUUACUUCACGAUUAUUGACACUGAGGCACGAAAGCGUGGGGAGCAAACAGG